AGCGGGGUGGAGCAGAGGUAGCUCGCCGGGCUCAUAACCCGGAGGUCGUUGGUUCGAAUCCGACCCCCGCCACCA
RNAcentral lists this transfer RNA (75 nucleotides) under Bacteroidales bacterium. RNAcentral's name for it is "tRNA-Met". It matches the Rfam family "tRNA". Rfam says of the family: Transfer RNA (tRNA) molecules are approximately 80 nucleotides in length. Their secondary structure includes four short double-helical elements and three loops (D, anti-codon, and T loops). The record is from RNAcentral. Lineage: Bacteria; Pseudomonadati; Bacteroidota; Bacteroidia; Bacteroidales.